Molecule: ribosomal RNA, 253 nt
Filed under: uncultured bacterium
Lineage: Bacteria
Description: partial 16S ribosomal RNA
Rfam family: Bacterial small subunit ribosomal RNA
Source: RNAcentral
CACGUAGGGCGCAAGCGUUGUCCGGAAUUAUUGGGCGUAAAGAGCUCGUAGGCGGUCUGUUGCGUCCGCUGUGAAAACUCGGGGCUUAACCCCGAGCCUGCAGUGGAUACGGGCAGACUAGAGGUAGGUAGGGGAGAAUGGAAUUCCCGGUGUAGCGGUGAAAUGCGCAGAUAUCAGGAGGAACACCGGUGGCGAAGGCGGGUCUCUGGGCCGAUAUUGACGCUGAGGCGCGACAGCGUGGGGAGCAAACAGG